Long non-coding RNA from Cydia splendana, 1444 nucleotides. RefSeq lists it as uncharacterized. The record is from RefSeq and is a predicted model, not a curated record. Lineage: Eukaryota; Metazoa; Arthropoda; Insecta; Lepidoptera; Tortricidae. The transcript is spliced from 2 exons.
UUUGUUGAAAUAAUAAAAAGUAAUUGAAAUUUUCGAAUUAGAUGAAAACCAAAUUGCCAUAUAUGUGAAGUCACAUCACCCGGGGGAGGGGUAAAAAAAUCUUCAAUUUCGUGUGAUGCAAUUAAAUAAUGGAUGACCGCAAAGUAUAAAAUUGAGUUUUUAAUGCCUGGUGCAGUUUUGUAGGCCGAUUUUAAUAGAGUAAUAUAAAAUAUAUCAUUAGGUGUUUCACCGUUUGAAUUUGAUUAUAACUAAGUAUUAAAAAAAACUUUUUUUAUAUUGUACCGAGGUAAUUAUUUUGUACAAAAAAAGUUAAUUUUGGCAAAAAAUAACUAUAUACCUACCUAUAAUUAUACUUACCAUACAUAUACGAAUUGCAACUAAUAUGCCAAAUUUUAGAAGAAAUACUUACAUUUAAGACAGUAAUCACCUAUUAGUAGCUUAUUCAAAUUCAAAUAAUUUAUUUCGGAAACAUAUUAGACUACAGACAGAACAUAUUAGAGUUAUACAGAGUGGGCCUUGUGACACGAUCGAAAGUUUAAACAAUAACAUCUGCAUACUAGUUAGGCCACUUGGUGUUAAUUUUAACCUCUCGUUUUGCCCGUUUCCGUGCAGUAAGUACUGAAAUAUCGUGGAUCCGCGUUCCAACAUAUGAAUGGUUAAAGUGUUUUGUUAAAAAGUGAAUUUUACUGCGUCAUGUCUAAAUAAAACUAGUUCUCCUAAUAACUAAAUUUUUAGAAACGAUAUUUUGUUGUACAUUUGUCAGGCCCCACGCUGUAUAUGGUCUGUCAAGCUAAGUAUGUCAGUAGCAAUGUACAGCAAAGUGAAGUAGGGCAACACUCAAAGAGCAGUAUUGCUUUACAAAAAGCAGCAAUGUACAUCUAACCAAAACACGUAAUUAUCAUAACCUCAAAUAUUACAAAUAUUUACGAUCAACGAGCAUGACUGUACAUUGUAGGCACCUUGACUUCUUAAGUUCAUGCACGAUAUUAUUUCAUUUAUUGGUAUUUAAUGGUGACAGCAGAAAUUUCUCUUGAUAUAGCAACGAUUCAGAAUGUAAACAAAUAAGAUGGCUGUCAUUCACGAUCCACAUUCCACAGAUAAAACACAGAUGACACGCGAUUUUGGAAUUGUUCGAAAACAGUGUUGCUAACCCGCGAUUUUUCAAAUUUGCCGUCUUUUGCUACUGACAAGAUUUGCUUGACCAAGUAUAUUUUAUGUAGCUCCAGUUUAUAAAACAAACGAAAUAGAGCAAAAACAUGUUUCGUAUGAAACAAAUAUUUUCGUUGUAUAUUUUAACUGUGGUAUCUGAAGCUACAUAAACUAAUUACAGGACUAGAUAUACCUUAUCAUAUUGUAAGUACAAAGUUUCAGAGCAAUCUGGCUAGUCGUUUAAAAAUGAGAGCGUAACUACGUUUGUAUGGAGAACCGAGCUUGCUGCGGACUC